UGGGGAAUAUUGCACAAUGGGCGCAAGCCUGAUGCAGCGACGCCGCGUGAGGGAUGAAGGCCUUCGGGUUGUAAACCUCUUUCAGUAGGGAAGAAGCGAAAGUGACGGUACCUGCAGAAGAAGCGCCGGCUAACUACGUGCCAGCAGCCGCGGUAAUACGUAGGGCGCAAGCGUUAUCCGGAAUUAUUGGGCGUAAAGAGCUCGUAGGCGGUUUGUCGCGUCUGCCGUGAAAGUCCGGGGCUUAACUCCGGAUCUGCGGUGGGUACGGGCAGACUUGAGUGAUGUAGGGGAGACUGGAAUUCCUGGUGUAGCGGUGAAAUGCGCAGAUAUCAGGAGGAACACCGAUUGCG
RNAcentral lists this ribosomal RNA (350 nucleotides) under uncultured bacterium. RNAcentral describes it as "bacterial SSU rRNA". It matches the Rfam family "Bacterial small subunit ribosomal RNA", at positions 355 to 717 of the family's 1533-position model. The record is from RNAcentral.